Molecule: ribosomal RNA, 234 nt
Filed under: uncultured bacterium
Lineage: Bacteria
Description: partial 16S ribosomal RNA
Rfam family: Bacterial small subunit ribosomal RNA
Source: RNAcentral
CGGACGGGUGAGUAAUGCGUAGGAAUUUACCUCAAAGCGGGGGAUAGCCCGGAGAAAUCCGGAUUAAUACCGCAUGUGCUCUACGGAGGAAAGCGGGCCUCUUCUUGAAAGCUCGCACUUUGAGAUAAGCCUACGUCGGAUUAGCUUGUUGGUAGGGUAAAGGCCUACCAAGGCGACGAUCCGUAGCUGGUUUGAGAGGAUGAUCAGCCACACUGGGACUGAGACACGGCCCAG